CGCCCGUCACACCAUGGGAGCUGGUAAUACCCAAAGUCGGUUUGCUAACCUCGGAGGCGACCGCCUAAGGUAGGACUGGUGACUGGGGUGAAGUCGUAACAAGGUAUCCCUACGAGAACGUGGGGAUGGAUCACCUCCUUUCUACGGAGUACAACUUCUGUUAUGGAAUAAUAUUUGUAUCCAGUUUUGAGAGUACUAACUCUCUUUUUGUUCUUUGAAAACUGAAUAUCGACAUUGAAAAAUUAUUAAUUAAUAUUUCAAAGUUUAGAUCAACCUAUAGAAUACAAAAAUAUAGACAACAAUAGGUCAUACAACAAACAUAACAAAACAACUAUUAAACAAGAUAAGAGUUUUUGGUGAAUGCCUUGGGUCUGGAAGUCGAAGAAGGACGUGAUUACCUGCGAUAAGCCUCGGUUAGCUGGAUAUAAGCUGUGAUCCGGGGAUUUCCGAAUGGGGAAACCCAAUUAAGUUAAUCCUUAAUUAUCGUAUCGAUGAAUUCAUAGUCGAACGAAGAGACACGCUGUGAAUUGAAACAUCUCAGUAGCAGCAGGAAGAGAAAAUAAAGAAUGAUUCCCUCAGUAGUGGCGAGCGAACGGGGAAGAGCCCAAACCAGCACUUGUUGCUGGGGUUGUAGGACUGCUUACACGAAGUUACAAAAUUUGCAUAUAGCAGAAUAAGUUGGAAUGCUUAAACAUAGAGGGUGAAAUUCCCGUAAGCGAAAUAUGUAAAUCUUCUAGCAGUAUCCUGAGUAGGGCGGGGCACGUGAAACCCUGUCUGAAUCUGCCGGGACCACCCGGUAAGGCUAAAUACUAACCAGACACCGAUAGUGAACUA
This 834-nucleotide small RNA is filed under the name [Mycoplasma] falconis. RNAcentral describes it as "bacterial LSU rRNA". The stretch from base 334 to 834 matches the Rfam family "Bacterial large subunit ribosomal RNA", at positions 1 to 497 of the family's 2925-position model. Lineage: Bacteria; Bacillati; Mycoplasmatota; Mycoplasmoidales; Metamycoplasmataceae. The record is from RNAcentral.